UACGAAGGGGGCUAGCGUUGCUCGGAAUGACUGGGCGUAAAGGGCGCGUAGGCGGCACGACAAGUCGGGAGUGAAAGCCCGGGGCUCAACCCCGGAAUGUCUCUCGAAACUGUCGAGCUAGAGUGCAGAAGAGGCAACUGGAAUUCCCAGUGUAGCGGUGAAAUGCGUAGAUAUUGGGAAGAACACCUGAGGCGAAGGCGGGUUGCUGGGCUGACACUGACGCUGAGGCGCGAAAGCCAGGGGAGCGAACGGG
This 253-nucleotide ribosomal RNA is filed under the name uncultured bacterium. RNAcentral's name for it is "partial 16S ribosomal RNA". It matches the Rfam family "Bacterial small subunit ribosomal RNA", at positions 524 to 776 of the family's 1533-position model. The record is from RNAcentral.